GUAGGUGGCAAGCGUUGUCCGGAAUUAUUGGGCGUAAAGCGCGCGCAGGCGGUUCUUUAAGUCUGAUGUGAAAGCCCACGGCUCAACCGUGGAGGGUCAUUGGAAACUGGAGAACUUGAGUACAGAAGAGGAAAGCGGAAUUCCACGUGUAGCGGUGAAAUGCGUAGAGAUGUGGAGGAACACCAGUGGCGAAGGCGGCUUUCUGGUCUGUAACUGACGCUGAGGCGCGAAAGCGUGGGGAGCAAACAGGGAUUAGAUACCCUGGUAGUCCACGCCGUAAACGAUGAGUGCUAAGUGUUAGGGGGGUUUCCCGCCCCUUAGUGCUGCAGCUAACGCAUUAAGCACUCCGCCUGGGGAGUACGGCCGCAAAGGCUG
This 375-nucleotide ribosomal RNA is filed under the name uncultured organism. RNAcentral's name for it is "partial 16S ribosomal RNA". It matches the Rfam family "Bacterial small subunit ribosomal RNA", at positions 527 to 896 of the family's 1533-position model. The record is from RNAcentral.